AUUUGAGUUCCAAAGUAAGAUUAAAAAUUUGUUUUUUAUUCAACUUCAUGUACCUUAUAUUUCUUUGGUUAAGCUGGAUGAAAUCUUGUACCCACCAAGCUCACAAUAAGUCCAUAGUUGUGAGUUUGUGUUGAGGUUGAUUUCUACCAAGAAGUGAGUUCAAAAACUCUUUUACUUUAAGUUCAUACAUGUUCCAAGUGUUGAAACAAUCCAAGGUUCACCAUCUUCCAUAUGGAUGAACUUGUGUUUCGAUAGAAGUGUGAACCGUGGGAGCUUUGUGUGACAAACGGCAAAAUUCCGGAGAUUAGUGGACGGCUUUGGAAAAAUAUGUCCGUGUUGUUAUCAAGAACUCAAGCUUUUGAGAUGUCAUCCUGUUUUUCAGUUAUGUUGUUGUGUCGAACCGGUUUAAACUUUGAACAAUGUUGUUAAAGUGUAGUUGUUUUAUCCCGAACAAGAUGUUUGUGUUAUAAACUAUGGAUUCUAAACAAAUGUAUGGAUGAACUUCCUUUUA
Helianthus annuus (common sunflower) is the source of this 511-nucleotide long non-coding RNA. RefSeq lists it as uncharacterized. The record is from RefSeq and is a predicted model, not a curated record. The transcript is spliced from 2 exons. NCBI's taxonomy places the organism in Eukaryota, Viridiplantae, Streptophyta, Magnoliopsida, Asterales, Asteraceae.